ACUCAGUUUUCUCUUCAAUUGUGUCGAAUAAGUCUUUCGCCUUUUACUAAAGAUUUCCGUGGAGAGGGACAACAUAAUGAGUUUUCAUAGAAUUUUUGGACGGCCGCCUGGUGGUUAAGCGCCACCGGGCCA
Molecule: small nuclear RNA, 132 nt
Filed under: Drosophila pseudoobscura pseudoobscura
Lineage: Eukaryota; Metazoa; Arthropoda; Insecta; Diptera; Drosophilidae
Description: snRNA:U5:3
Rfam family: U5 spliceosomal RNA (bases 1-116)
About the family: U5 RNA is a component of both types of known spliceosome. The precise function of this molecule is unknown, though it is known that the 5' loop is required for splice site selection and p220 binding, and that both the 3' stem-loop and the Sm site are important for Sm protein binding and cap methylation.
Source: RNAcentral